GACAAUGUCAAAGGGGAGUAGCUUUGGGUGUGAAAACAUCUAAACAAAGUCGUCAUUACAUGAAGAAAUUCAUCGGCUUUGUUGGCAUGAUACAUAUGUCUAGCAAGACCUUUGCCUAUAAAGGGCAGAGGUCUUUUUUUGCGUCCUUUAUAGGGUUUGUUGUU
RNAcentral lists this small RNA (164 nucleotides) under Heyndrickxia shackletonii. Its description in RNAcentral is "Bacillus shackletonii Manganese sequence". It matches the Rfam family "Manganese Mn2+ riboswitch aptamer (yybP-ykoY)". From Rfam's summary of the family: This RNA was originally discovered in E. coli during a large scale screen and was named SraF. The family was later found to exist upstream of related families of protein genes in many bacteria, including the the yybP and ykoK genes in B. subtilis. Lineage: Bacteria; Bacillati; Bacillota; Bacilli; Caryophanales; Bacillaceae. The record is from Rfam by way of RNAcentral.